RNAcentral lists this transfer RNA (62 nucleotides) under Auchenoplax crinita. RNAcentral describes it as "tRNA-Met". Lineage: Eukaryota; Metazoa; Annelida; Polychaeta; Terebellida; Ampharetidae. The record is from RNAcentral.
GUAAAAUCAGCUAAAUAAAGCUAUUGGGUUCAUGCCCCGACAAUGAGAUUAUCUCUUUUACU